Molecule: non-coding RNA, 21 nt
Filed under: Caenorhabditis elegans
Lineage: Eukaryota; Metazoa; Nematoda; Chromadorea; Rhabditida; Rhabditidae
Source: RNAcentral
UAAUAGGAAAAAAAACUUAUG